UACGAAGGGGGCUAGCGUUGUUCGGAAUUACUGGGCGUAAAGCGUGCGCAGGCGGCCUUCCAAGUCAGGGGUGAAAGCCCAGAGCUCAACUCUGGAAUUGCCUUUGAGACUGUGAGGCUUGAGUACGGGAGAGGUGAGUGGAAUUCCCAGUGUAGAGGUGAAAUUCGUAGAUAUUGGGAAGAACACCGGUGGCGAAGGCGGCUCACUGGCUCGUAUCUGACGCUCAGGCGCGAUAGCGUGGGGAUCAAACAGG
RNAcentral lists this ribosomal RNA (253 nucleotides) under uncultured bacterium. Its description in RNAcentral is "partial 16S ribosomal RNA". It matches the Rfam family "Bacterial small subunit ribosomal RNA", at positions 524 to 776 of the family's 1533-position model. The record is from RNAcentral.